Molecule: long non-coding RNA, 710 nt
Organism: Plodia interpunctella (Indianmeal moth)
Lineage: Eukaryota; Metazoa; Arthropoda; Insecta; Lepidoptera; Pyralidae
Exons: 2
Source: RefSeq, a predicted model, not a curated record
UAGGUAUUCUCACUCCAAAUUACGUAGUGUAAAAAUGGUUAAAAUAAUUUAAAUUACGACUAGUUAAACCUUAUUACAUACUGUGAAAACAGUGCAAAAUCGUAAAAAAUGUGGAAUUGAAGGGAAAAUAUCAAAAACACGGCUUGGAUUUAUUACAAAAUAUGUCUUUCAGGAGAGUAAAAGCUCUUUUGGUCGACGCUGUAGUAUUUUUGAGUUUCAUAACACUAGUCGGUCAUUUAGGCCUUGAUAUAUGGCAGAGAUAUGUUGUUAACUUCGAAAUAGAUAAUAUGAAAGCAAAUUUAUAUUCCUUAAAGAAUACUUUAGAUAAUAUUCUCACCGCCUAUGACAAGUUAGAUAAUGAAUUAAACUCUUUGAAAACAAAUGAGAGAGCUGUCUCAUCGAGAGAAUUUUACAAGUUACAUACAGGUGGCCACCGUGAUAAAAAUGCCUUGAAAGAUCGCAAAAAAAUAGCUAAAGCGACUAAAGAUAAAGCAUGCUCCAUAAGAAAACAAGGUGUUCGUACUGUGAAUUUUGCAAAAAUUAAUGGAACUACAAUUAUAAAGUAUCCAUUGCAAUCAACUGCAAUGCACUCAAGAAAUGACACGAGGCGUGUGCCAAGAUAUAAUUUUUAUAGCAAUACAUAUGAGUGUGAUGAACAUGAUUGCAGUAUGUGGAAAUUUUGAGUUUCAAAUUAAACGAGUAAUAUAGUA